CGCUUCUGCUCAGAGGAGAAGGAGGCAUGAGCCAGGGCACACACCUCUGAGUGCUUGUGCCAGAUCACAGCACUUUCCCGCCCAGAGGUCCCCACAACAUACGUUUACAAAGCACGUGUCUUGGAGUUCCUGUUGUGGUGCAGCGGUAAAGAACCCGACUAGUAUCUAUGAGGAUGCGGGUCCCAUCCCUGGCCCUGAUCCUUAACCUUAGGAUCCUUAACCCACUGAACGAGGGCAGGGAUCAAACCUGCGUCCUCAUGGAUACAAGUCAGGUUCAUUACCGCUGAGCCAGGAUGGGAACUCCCAGCACAGUGGAUUUAAAUGAUCACUAUUGACUUAUGUCUUCCUCUCCACGUGUAUGUUCAGGCAGUAUGUGUAGUGAUUCAAGGAGUUUAAAUCCUGGCUCCACAUGUACCUUUUUGACCCUAGAUGUGUUUCUUAACCACUGUGCUACAAUUUCUUCACAUUUACAAUGGAACUUUUACAGGUACUUAAUCAAAUUGCUGUGAAGAUUAAAUUCAUCAAUACAUUAAAAGGGCCUGACAUAUAGAAAGCACGCAGUCAACAUUAGCUGUUCACUUUCCUUUUUGCUGGGAGGCCUCUUCUCUAAACCUGAUCGAACCAUUAGACUUGAGGCAGGUUCCAUUGCAUCUUGACCAGACACAGUUGUCUUAGGGACAAAAUAAAAUGGUAUAAAUGACAGUGCCUGGAAUGUGGCGGGAAGACAGUGAAACAAAGAGAUGUCAAAAAUAAAUCCUCUCAAGCAACCUUGUGUUUCUGCAGUGGGACUGGGAGGGAAGAUGGCGAAACCUAAGAAAUUGCUUUUACUGUAUUUAAGCUGUCAAAGUGUGCGGUUGAUGGAUUCCAUAAAUUCAAGAAUUGCACAGUUCCUUUGGGUUUAAGAACCUGUUCAUUGAUAAAGCCAGGUGUCAGUAGAAAAUUUCAAACGACCCUUUACCAAGACAAUAGAUAGUUUGUGAGCGUCUCAAGAUUUGUGACAGUAACUUAAAAAUACCAUUGGACACUGUUUCCUUCCAAGAAAAUAAUCCUUAGAAAAAAAUAUUAUAUUGGAAAAUUGAGCAGAAGGUGUAGGGGUCUCCUAUAUCCCCUCCUCCACACAUGCAUAGCUUCCCCCAUUAUUAACAUUCCCCAUCACAGUGGUACAUUUGCUGCAGUUGAACCCACUUGACCCAUCAAAAUUACCCAAAGUCCAUGGUUUACAUUAGGGUUCAACUCUUGGAGGUGAACCUUCUGCAGGUUUGGAUAAAUGCAUGAUGGCAUAUGUCCAUCAUUAUGGUAUCAUGCAAAAUAGUUUUGCAGCCCUAAAAAUCCUCUGGGCUCUGUUUAUUCAUCCGUACUUCCCUAGUCCCUGCCAACCACUGAUCUCUUUACUGUCUCCUGAGUUUUAUCUUUUCCAAAAUGUUAUAUAGUUAGAAUCAGGUAGUAUAUAGCCCUUUCAGAUUGACUUCUUUCACUUAGUAAGAAGCAUUUAGGCUUCCUCCAUGUCUUUGCAUGACUUGAUAGGUCAUUUCUUUUCAGCACUUAGUAAUAUUCCAUUGUCUAGAUAAAAGGUGACUUACCCACAUGCUCCUGAAGGACAUCUUAGUUGCUUUCAGGUGCUGGCAGUAUUGAAUAAAGUUGCUAUAUAGCCACAUGCAGGCUUUUGUGUGCACAUGUUUUCAAGUGAUUCUGUAUUAAUAUCUGUAUUCUUCCCCUGAAAGGAAUGAAAAGAUACUUUGAAGUGGUGAUUUAUCACAUCAUUAGCCUUCAUUCAUCCCUCAGUUUAUAGAUGAAAUCAAUAGCUGAUUACUUGGCAUCACUUUGAAAGAACAAGCAGAGAGAGGGCUUCCUAAGAAGGAUGGGCGCCCAGAGAGGCAGAUUUCGUACAGGAGCCAGAACCAGAGCCCUGGAUAGAGGGGACCAGGAAGAGGGGGAGACCUGGUACCACAAAGCCCAGCUUGAGAGUUGUUCCUCUUCUUUCUCUUACCUUCUCAACUCUGUCAAGGUCUGAAAACCCAUGUUACCACAUGACUGUAUUUUUAAUGUGUUUAACUUGUCUUACUUCAUUUGCUCUUAAGACAGUUUUAUUUCAUCACAAACACCAGUCUUCUGAGAAACACUCAGCUGCUAUGUCCUGCCUGUCUUUUAUCUUUGGCUUCAUGUUUGCCUCGAGAUAUCCCACAGCCACUCCUCCUGUUCACUAACUUUGGCAGGAGGGCGCGUGUGAACCCUCCACCUGCAGGCAGAAUAAUCUAGAGGCAAUUCCCCCAGAAGCCUAGAAACAGCAAAGCCCUGUGAAGACACUGAAAUUACGAGAGUAACUCCUUGUCCCGUCAGCAUCAAAGGCCUCAAAUUUUCUUUCCAAACCCAAUUACAAAGAGGGAGAAAUGUGAUUAGAGUAAAAUUUUCAUGUGUAUAAUAUUUGUGGCACUGUGUAGCUGAAGCCAUGGUCCUCUCUUUGCCUCCCGAUCCUUGUCUCCUACCUGGUUCCAUAGGGCGUUGCCAGGUCACUAGACAGGCCACCUAUUGAGGUAAUUUACAUUAAACAGUUAGAGGGGGGUUCCUUUGUGGCUCAGUGGGUUAAAGACCUGAUAUUGACUCUCUGAGGAUGCAGGUUGGAUCCCUGGCUUUGCUCAGUGGGUUAAGGAUUUGGUGGUAGGUUGCACAUGUGGCUUGGAUCCAGUGUUGCCAUGGCUGUGGCCUGGGCCACAGCUGCAGCUCUGAGUUGAUGUGUGGCCUAGGAACUUCCAUAUGCCACAGGUGUAGU
Molecule: long non-coding RNA, 2767 nt
Filed under: Sus scrofa (pig)
Lineage: Eukaryota; Metazoa; Chordata; Mammalia; Artiodactyla; Suidae
Description: lncRNA (ENSSSCG00035011482.1)
Source: RNAcentral